This is a long non-coding RNA of Lutra lutra (Eurasian river otter), 321 nucleotides long. RefSeq lists it as uncharacterized. NCBI's taxonomy places the organism in Eukaryota, Metazoa, Chordata, Mammalia, Carnivora, Mustelidae. The transcript is spliced from 3 exons. The record is from RefSeq and is a predicted model, not a curated record.
AGAUUAUUAUAGUUAAUGUACUUAUGAAGAUGAAUGAAUCCAUUUCUUCUCUUUGAUAUGAAACUCCUUAAAGCUCUGCAGCCUCCUUUUUGCUUAUUCAAUGCUCCACUCCUUUUUAUGAAGUGCCGGGCACUGUGGAUAUCUUGAGGAUACAAAGGGAGAAGGCAUCAGGUUGGCUAAGCUUAGGCCAUGUGUCCACCAUUGGCCAGAGGAAGAUAGGUACCACUAUUGACUAUAUCCUAUAAAAAAGAAGUGUUUCUCCAAACCACAACUGGAAUGCUGUGAUCACAAAAAGAGAGAAAAGAUACUGAGCUGCCAAAA